Molecule: ribosomal RNA, 446 nt
Filed under: uncultured bacterium
Lineage: Bacteria
Description: partial 16S ribosomal RNA
Rfam family: Bacterial small subunit ribosomal RNA
Source: RNAcentral
CCUACGGGAGGCAGCAGUCGAGAAUCAUUCACAAUGGGGGAAACCCUGAUGGUGCGACGCCGCGUGGGGGAAUGAAGGUCUUCGGAUUGUAAACCCCUGUCAUGUGGGAGCAAAUUAAAAAGAUAGUACCACAAGAGGAAGAGACGGCUAACUCUGUGCCAGCAGCCGCGGUAAUACAGAGGUCUCAAGCGUUGUUCGGAAUCACUGGGCGUAAAGCGUGCGUAGGCUGUUUCGUAAGUCGUGUGUGAAAGGCGCGGGCUCAACCCGCGGACGGCACAUGAUACUGGGAGACUAGAGUAAGGGAGGGGGAACCGGAAUUCUCGGUGUAGCAGUGAAAUGCGUAGAUAUCGAGAGGAACACUCGUGGCGAAGGCGGGUUCCUGGACAUUAACUGACGCUGAGGCACGAAGGCCAGGGGAGCGAAAGGGAUUAGAUACCCGUGUAGUC